AUACGGAGGGUGCAAGCGUUAAUCGGAAUUACUGGGCGUAAAGCGUACGUAGGCGGUUUGCUAAGUCAGAUGUGAAAGCCCCGGGCUUAACCUGGGAACUGCAUUUGAUACUGGCAGACUAGAGUAUGAUAGAGGGGGGUAGAAUUCCUGGUGUAGCGGUGAAAUGCGUAGAUAUCAGGAGGAAUACCAGUGGCGAAGGCGGCCCCCUGGAUCAAUACUGACGCUGAGGUACGAAAGCGUGGGGAGCGAACAGGAUUAGAAACCCCAGUAGUCC
This 274-nucleotide ribosomal RNA is filed under the name uncultured bacterium. RNAcentral describes it as "partial 16S ribosomal RNA". It matches the Rfam family "Bacterial small subunit ribosomal RNA", at positions 523 to 796 of the family's 1533-position model. The record is from RNAcentral.